GGCAAACCUUGCUUAGCUUACUUACUGUGUAUGUCUGGUAGGGUGUGAUACAAACACAGCCGUAUCAUGCAAGGCAUUUUACAGUUAGAAUUAUCGCUUUUCAUUUUGAAAACGUAUGAAAGUGUCAAUUAAAAGUUCUUCCCUGCGAUUUCAUGAGAUUUUAGUUUCUGAUGCUCCCUUUCAUGUUUUCAAAGUCACUCGAUAUUGCUUCUGCAAACUAUCAUGGGCUUGUCGGUCAUUAAAAGUUACGUGUAAGGAAAUACUCCCUCUGUCCCACAAUGAGUGACACAGUUUGACUAUAUUAAAUUACAGUUCUAUCUUGUAUUUCCAAAGAACUGCUUAC
This 343-nucleotide long non-coding RNA is filed under the name Trifolium pratense (red clover). RNAcentral describes it as "long non-coding RNA (TPRA_LNC012029)". The record is from RNAcentral. Lineage: Eukaryota; Viridiplantae; Streptophyta; Magnoliopsida; Fabales; Fabaceae.